GUAUGGUCAAAGCAUGAGAGACCCUUAGACCAAAGGGUAAACAAGCUCAAAAGAAAGACAGCUGAAAAGGAAAAUUCACCAGCGUCCAGAGCUGACAGAUGGAAGAAGCCAGCCUGGGAAAAUCACCUGAUGAUGCCAUAGUUAGAGCUACAAGGACAUCUCCAGCGGAACCACCAAAGAACCAGGAAUCUGCUCUGAGACCUUUAACAAUGAAGAGUGCAGACGUAGCAUCCAAAGCUCAGAUACGUCAAACCCAAGGACAAAACAAAAGUCUCUGCUGCUUCACCGGUUAUCAUGAAAAAGCACAGAAUCCUAGGAUGGGGGCAGCCUUCAGGUUUCUUUAUUACAAGAUGCAACUCAAGACCAACUGUCUGAAAAGACUAGGGUAUGUAGUCAGGACCCUCUGAGAGCACGAGUGGGAGACGAUAGUAGAAACAGACAGGGAGCUUGCAGAUUUCUUAAACAAAGCCCAGUUGCCUCAGUCUCUGGUGCCUAGUGAUGCUCUUUUUGCUGGGAGAACUAAUGCUAUCCACCUAUAUUACAAACCUAAGCCGGGGAAGAAAUCCACUAUUACGAUUUUACCAGCCUGUACCCUUUCGUAAACAAAAAUCAAAGAAUACCCAAUUACACCCCCACUACAGUUCAUGACAAAUUUGGACCCCAUAAAAUUAUUUUGGAAUUGUGAAAGUUAAAGUGUAUCCCGUGAGGCCUCUUUCCCCGAUGUUACCUGUCAGAGCGGGUGGCAAACGUACGUUCCCGCUCUGCCGAACUUCUGCCAAAACCGAGCAGCGGGAGAUGUGCGCCCAUACUGAUGAGGAGAGAGUCAUCCUGGGGACUUGGUGCACGGUGGAAUUGAACAUGGCUGUAGCGAAGGGGAACGUGAAGGCAACAAAUCUACAAAAUCUGGAAUUUUGAAGAAAAGUUUUUGACAAACUCUUUUCAGAGUACAUAAAAUUACACCUCCAUCAGAAACAAGAGGCGUCAGAGUAUCCCAGCUGGUGCACAGAUGAAGAAAAACAAAAUAAGUAUGUUAAUGAUUUCUAUUGGAAAGAAGGUGUGCAUUUACGCCAACAUGAGAUCAUGGUGAAAAGGCUAAACUUUAUGGCAUUGUGCUUCACGGGUACCCAACAUACGUGAGGCAGAGCGAUGCAGAUGAAGGGAAAAUAAGUCUGUUUCUCCCAGAACAGGAAUGCAGCAUGACUACCAAACCUCCAGAAACACUAAAGACCUCGGAUUGUGUUGCU
This is a long non-coding RNA of Mauremys reevesii (Reeves's turtle), 1244 nucleotides long. RefSeq lists it as uncharacterized. The record is from RefSeq and is a predicted model, not a curated record. The transcript is spliced from 3 exons. NCBI's taxonomy places the organism in Eukaryota, Metazoa, Chordata, Testudines, Geoemydidae.